This 595-nucleotide long non-coding RNA is filed under the name Struthio camelus australis. Its description in RNAcentral is "lncRNA (ENSSCUG00000011220.1)". The record is from RNAcentral. Lineage: Eukaryota; Metazoa; Chordata; Aves; Struthioniformes; Struthionidae.
AUGAAUGGGGCAGCCGAGCUAGGUGUUUUGUCCAGGGAGCAGCUUGUACCUUUGUGCCCAGUCAUCCCAGCUCAAACCAGGCUCCUUCCCAGAAAGCCCCAGCGGCUGGAUGCACAUAUGGCUCUGAGCAAACAGGACAGAUGGCUGCUGGCAAGGGCCACUGCUGAGGCAUAUGCUCUUUUGAUGUCCCUCUGCUCUUCGUGGGUCCGACACGGCGAGUUGCCACAUCUGUGCUGCAGAAGCGCAGCACCUCUGUGAUGUGCCAUUGCCUCUCACAGCUGCGUGUAGCCACAGGAACCGGGGCAAAUACAGGACUGGAAAGGACCUGACUAAGGUGGCAGCUGUUUCAGGCCCCCUGGGGCUCCUGCUACCAUCCCUAGGCAGCGAGACACCCAACUCCUGCACUCCUCUGCCCACAGCCUCAGCCCCACUGAAGAGAAGCACAGCAUCUCCGAUCUUCUGGGAAACCUCCUGACUGACCAACAGCUACGGGAGCCUGACUGGCCUGUGGGCUCCUCCUGGCAACCUGGCUCAUAGCUCGGAGAAGUAAAGUCUUGGCAUCAUCUAAGAAGAGAAAAAGCAAGUUUCUGAGCUU